GGUAGUAUAGCCAAAUGGCUAAGGCGUGGCUCUGCAAAAGCCUGAUUAUAGGUUCGACUCCUAUUACUACCUCCA
Molecule: transfer RNA, 75 nt
Filed under: Bacteriophage sp.
Also listed under: 1 other name
Description: tRNA-Cys
Rfam family: tRNA
About the family: Transfer RNA (tRNA) molecules are approximately 80 nucleotides in length. Their secondary structure includes four short double-helical elements and three loops (D, anti-codon, and T loops).
Source: RNAcentral